UUGAAGCAAAGACUGGAUGAUGAAAAGGGAACUCUUCUCCCACUGCAAGAAAUAAAAUUGAAGAAAUGAGGGAUAAAAAAGGCAAUGUUUUGAUCUUGAUACGUAUUGACCAGGAGGUUGUUCUAGCUGAAGAAUACACGAAAUUGUUGGAUAAUCCAUCUUGUUUAAACGCUGCCUCGCUAUUAUGAACAGGACUUCUGGGAUUCCACUUUUGUUUCUUCUCUGAAAUAAUUCAAAGGGGAAAACCAUAGGCUCAUAGGAAAUGAAGAAUUGGCUGAAGGAAUACUCAUUUUUCCUUGUCUCUA
Molecule: long non-coding RNA, 305 nt
Filed under: Struthio camelus australis
Lineage: Eukaryota; Metazoa; Chordata; Aves; Struthioniformes; Struthionidae
Description: lncRNA (ENSSCUG00000013277.1)
Source: RNAcentral